CCUACGGGUGGCAGCAGUGGGGAAUAUUGCACAAUGGGGGAAACCCUGAUGCAGCGACGCCGCGUGAGUGAAGAAGCGCCUCUGCGCGUAAAGCUCUGUCAGCAGGAACGAUAAUGACGGUACCUGAAGAAGAAGCCCCGGCUAACUACGUGCCAGCAGCCGCGGUAAUACGUAGGGGGCAAGCGUUAUCCGGAUUUAUUGGGUUUAACGGGUGCGCAGGCGGAGGUGCAAGUCAGCGGUCAAAUUGCGGGGCUCAACCCCGUACUGCCGUUGAAACUGCAUCCCUUGAGUGCGCGAGAAGUAGGCGGAAUGCGUGGUGUAGCGGUGAAAUGCAUAGAUAUCACGCAGAACUCCGAUUGCGAAGGCAGCAUACCGGCGCGCAACUGACGCUCAUGCACGAAAGCGUGGGUAUCGAACAGGAUUAGAUACCCUUGUAGUC
Molecule: ribosomal RNA, 439 nt
Filed under: uncultured bacterium
Lineage: Bacteria
Description: partial 16S ribosomal RNA
Rfam family: Bacterial small subunit ribosomal RNA
Source: RNAcentral